UACCAGCACCCCGAGUGGUCGGGACGAUUAUUGGGCCUAAAGCAUCCGUAGCCGGCCUUACAAGUCCUCCGUUAAAUCCAGCUGCUUAACAGAUGGGCUGCGGAGGAUACUAUAAGACUAGGAGGCAGGAGAGGCAAGCGGUACUCAGUGGGUAGGGGUAAAAUCCGUUGAUCCAUUGAGGACCACCAGUGGCGAAGGCGGCUUGCCAGAAUGCGCUCGACGGUGAGGGAUGAAAGCUGGGGGAGCAAACCGG
RNAcentral lists this ribosomal RNA (253 nucleotides) under uncultured bacterium. RNAcentral describes it as "partial 16S ribosomal RNA". It matches the Rfam family "Archaeal small subunit ribosomal RNA", at positions 474 to 727 of the family's 1478-position model. The record is from RNAcentral.